GCCUCCUUAGCUCAGUGGUAGAGCAACGCACUUGUAAUGCGUAGGUCGUCAGUUCAAUCCUGACAGGGGGCU
Molecule: non-coding RNA, 72 nt
Organism: Mycobacterium sp. GA-1999
Lineage: Bacteria; Bacillati; Actinomycetota; Actinomycetes; Mycobacteriales; Mycobacteriaceae
Source: Rfam